Molecule: transfer RNA, 77 nt
Filed under: Candidatus Bathyarchaeota archaeon
Lineage: Archaea; Thermoproteati; Candidatus Bathyarchaeota
Description: tRNA-Ser
Rfam family: tRNA
About the family: Transfer RNA (tRNA) molecules are approximately 80 nucleotides in length.
Source: RNAcentral
GCCGCCGUAGCUCAGCGUGGUAGAGCAGCUGACUCGAGACCAGCGGGUCGUCGGUUCAAGUCCGACCGGCGGCGCCA